This 72-nucleotide transfer RNA is filed under the name Deltaproteobacteria bacterium GWA2_45_12. RNAcentral describes it as "tRNA-Val". It matches the Rfam family "tRNA". Rfam says of the family: Transfer RNA (tRNA) molecules are approximately 80 nucleotides in length. Lineage: Bacteria; Deltaproteobacteria. RNAcentral also lists the same sequence under 1 other name. The record is from RNAcentral.
GGGUGUUUAGCUCAGAGGUAGAGCACUUCCUUCACACGGAAGGGGCCAGUGGUUCGAUCCCACUAACACCCA